RNAcentral lists this transfer RNA (77 nucleotides) under Caudoviricetes sp. Its description in RNAcentral is "tRNA-Arg". It matches the Rfam family "tRNA". Rfam says of the family: Transfer RNA (tRNA) molecules are approximately 80 nucleotides in length. Their secondary structure includes four short double-helical elements and three loops (D, anti-codon, and T loops). Further hydrogen bonds mediate the characteristic L-shaped molecular structure. tRNAs have two regions of fundamental functional importance: the anti-codon, which is responsible for specific mRNA codon recognition, and the 3' end, to which the tRNAs corresponding amino acid is attached (by aminoacyl-tRNA synthetases). tRNAs cope with the degeneracy of the genetic code in two manners: having more than one tRNA (with a specific anti-codon) for a particular amino acid; and 'wobble' base-pairing, i.e. permitting non-standard base-pairing at the 3rd anti-codon position. Lineage: Duplodnaviria; Heunggongvirae; Uroviricota; Caudoviricetes. The record is from RNAcentral.
GCGCUCAUAGCACAAAUGGAUAGGGCAGCACACUACGAAUGUGAAGGUUUGAGGUUCGAGUCCUCAUGGGCGCACCA